RNAcentral lists this ribosomal RNA (431 nucleotides) under uncultured archaeon. RNAcentral describes it as "bacterial SSU rRNA". It matches the Rfam family "Archaeal small subunit ribosomal RNA", at positions 474 to 903 of the family's 1478-position model. The record is from RNAcentral.
CACCGGCAGCCCAAGUGGUGGCCAUUUUUACUUGGGUCUAAAGCGUCCGUAGCCGGCCUGAUUAGUUCCUUGGGAAAUUUGACCGCUCAACGAUCAAGCUUCCAGGGAAUACUGCCGGGCUUGGGACCGGGAGAGGUCAGAGGUACCUCAAGGGUAGGGGUGAAAUCCGUUAAUCCUUGGGGGACCGCCAGUAGCGAAGGCGUCUGACCAGACCGGAUCCGACGGUGAGGGACGAAGGCUAGGGGAGCGAACCGGAUUAGAUACCCGGGUAGUCCUAGCUGUAAACGAUGCGGGCUAGGUGUUGGCAUUACUGCGAGUGAUGCCAGUGCCGAAGGGAAGCCGUUAAGCCCGCCAUCUGGGGAGUACGGUCGCAAGGCUGAAACUUAAAGGAAUUGGCGGGGGAGCACUACAACGGGUGGAGCCUGCGGUUC